GCGUGAGUGAAGAAGGCCUUAGGGUUGUAAAGCUCUUUCAGCGGGGAAGAUAAUGACGGUACCCGCAGAAGAAGCCCCGGCUAACUCCGUGCCAGCAGCCGCGGUAAGACGGAGGGGGCUAGCGUUGUUCGGAAUUACUGGGCGUAAAGCGCGCGUAGGCGGCGAACCAAGUUGGGCGUGAAAGCCCGGGGCUCAACCCCGGAAUAGCGCUCAAAACUAGUUUGCUCGAGUCCGAGAGAGGUGAGUGGAAUUCCCAGUGUAGAGGUGAAAUUCGU
Molecule: ribosomal RNA, 275 nt
Filed under: uncultured bacterium
Lineage: Bacteria
Description: partial 16S ribosomal RNA
Rfam family: Bacterial small subunit ribosomal RNA
Source: RNAcentral